Molecule: long non-coding RNA, 323 nt
Filed under: Elaeis guineensis (African oil palm)
Lineage: Eukaryota; Viridiplantae; Streptophyta; Magnoliopsida; Arecales; Arecaceae
Description: long non-coding RNA (EGUI_LNC050969)
Source: RNAcentral
CAACAUUCAGGAAUUAUUCGUUCUUCUCAAAUUCUCUACUAAUCUGAAGUCCCUACAAUGAAUUGUAGAUAUGAAUCAAACUUCUGGUAUCCAAUAUCCAAGUAGUAGUAUCAUAGAUAGAGAAAUUAUAAGAUGUUGUCAUAUAAGUACCUUAUUCAGCAAUCCUUUGCUUAUUUCUCUUCCUAGACCUGUUCAUUUUUGCUUGACUCUGGUCUGUCUUAGACUGCUUAGGAUCAGAAUGAUUUUUCUACACCUUUCAUUUUCUUCCUCUCUCAGAGGAUCAAUGCCCAAUUGAGGAUAAAUCCUCAAGUAUGCCAAAAGAC